Molecule: ribosomal RNA, 492 nt
Filed under: uncultured bacterium
Lineage: Bacteria
Description: partial 16S ribosomal RNA
Rfam family: Bacterial small subunit ribosomal RNA
Source: RNAcentral
AGUGAACGCUGGCGGUAGGCCUAACACAUGCAAGUCGAACGGCAGCACAGUAAGAGCUUGCUCUUACGGGUGGCGAGUGGCGGACGGGUGAGGAAUACAUCGGAAUCUACUUUUUCGUGGGGGCUAACGUAGGGAAACUUACGCUAAUACCGCAUACGACCUACGGGUGAAAGCAGGGGAUCUUCGGACCUUGCGCGAUUGAAUGAGCCGAUGUCGGAUUAGCUAGUUGGCGGGGUAAAGGCCCACCAAGGCGACGAUCCGUAGCUGGUCUGAGAGGAUGAUCAGCCACACUGGAACUGAGACACGGUCCAGACUCCUACGGGAGGCAGCAGUGGGGAAUAUUGGACAAUGGGCGCAAGCCUGAUCCAGCCAUACCGCGUGUGUGAAGAAGGCCUUCGGGUUGUAAAGCCCUUUUGUUGGGAAAGAAAAGCAGCAGGUUAAUACCCCGCUGUUCUGACGGUACCCAAAGAAUAAGCACCGGCUAACUUCGUG